CUCAGGAUGAACGCUAGCUACAGGCUUAACACAUGCAAGUCGAGGGGAAACGACAUCGAAAGCUUGCUUUCGAUGGGCGUCGACCGGCGCACGGGUGAGUAACGCGUAUCCAACCUGCCCAUCACUUGGGGAUAACCUUGCGAAAGUAAGACUAAUACCCAAUGACGUCUCUAGAAGACAUCUGAAGGAGAUUAAAGAUUUAUCGGUGAUGGAUGGGGAUGCGUCUGAUUAGCUUGUUGGCGGGGUAACGGCCCACCAAGGCGACGAUCAGUAGGGGUUCUGAGAGGAAGGUCCCCCACAUUGGAACUGAGACACGGUCCAAACUCCUACGGGAGGCAGCAGUGAGGAAUAUUGGUCAAUGGGCGAGAGCCUGAACCAGCCAAGUAGCGUGCAGGAUGACGGCCCUAUGGGUUGUAAACUGCUUUUAUAAGGGAAUAAAGUGAGCCUCGUGAGGCUUUUUGCAUGUACCUUAUGAAUAAGGACCGGCUAAUUCCGUGCCAGCAGCCGCGGUAAUACGGAAGGUCCGGGCGUUAUCCGGAUUUAUUGGGUUUAAAGGGAGCGUAGGCCGGAGAUUAAGCGUGUUGUGAAAUGUAGACGCUCAACGUCUGCACUGCAGCGCGAACUGGUUUCCUUGAGUACGCACAAAGUGGGCGGAAUUCGUGGUGUAGCGGUGAAAUGCUUAGAUAUCACGAAGAACUCCGAUUGCGAAGGCAGCUCACUGGAGCGCAACUGACGCUGAAGCUCGAAAGUGCGGGUAUCGAACAGGAUUAGAUACCCUGGUAGUCCGCACGGUAAACGAUGGAUGCCCGCUGUUGGUCUGAAUAGGUCAGCGGCCAAGCGAAAGCAUUAAGCAUCCCACCUGGGGAGUACGCCGGCAACGGUGAAACUCAAAGGAAUUGACG
RNAcentral lists this ribosomal RNA (902 nucleotides) under uncultured bacterium. RNAcentral describes it as "bacterial SSU rRNA". It matches the Rfam family "Bacterial small subunit ribosomal RNA", at positions 23 to 915 of the family's 1533-position model. The record is from RNAcentral.